Molecule: RNA transcript, 2199 nt
Organism: Culicoides brevitarsis
Lineage: Eukaryota; Metazoa; Arthropoda; Insecta; Diptera; Ceratopogonidae
Gene: wls
Gene name: protein wntless
Exons: 7
Source: RefSeq, a predicted model, not a curated record
GAUAGGGAAAACACAACAAGAGGAAAAAGGGGGAAAUAUUCCUUUUAUGGGGCAAUAAAUAUUAGACACAUACGCACAUACGGGUCCAGACAAAUAGUUUUCCGAUUGGUGAAAAGUGCAUAAAAAUUUUCGCUCCGCUAUUGAUUAGCGAAAAAUUCUAAUUAUUCGACGAACAACGAAGCGACAAAGAAGAUGUCGGGAACAAUUUUGGAGAAUUUGAGCACAAAAAAGCUCUCAAUUCUUGUGGGUUUGCUGCUCGUUUGUCAAGUUGUUUGUUUCCUCAUUGGCGGAUUGAUUGCUCCAAUACCGGCCAGCGUUCAGACAAUUUUGGGAACAAUUUGCAAGGAUGUGCCGCGAGCCUACAACGACACGAGCGUUUGGCUUUAUCCGAGGGGCGAAAAACGAUGUCACACACUUUCUCACGACGAAAUAGAAAAUCACGACGUGAAGAUGGCGAACAAUUUGGUAUUUGCUUUUCAGAUGCCUCUGCCGAGAGAAGGUAGAGUUUUGGAUUACUCACGAUGGCAGCAAAAUUUAAUUGGGGUGUUGCAAACGGAUAUUGGAUAUAGUGCGGAAUUGACUAUCAAUCCCAAAACCGACGUCACCAUCGACGCUCGCUUGGCAUACCGCAACAAGGAGGACAAAGACGACGAAUGGAAAUAUCUCGCAUCUUCACUCGAAACCCGUUCUCUCGAAUGCACCAUGGAUGAAAUUUCAGGCACUUCAUUUUACGAUUGCGGCACCAUCCCGUUGUUCGAAUUGGGUUCCUUGCAUCACGAUUACUAUUUGCUGAAUGUGCGAUUGCCUCGUGACACGGAUUCGAAGAUGAAUUACGAUUUGGGUUACGUGCGCGACUUGCAUUUGUCGGUAAUUCAUCAAAAUGGGGGAUUCACGAAGGUUUGGGUGUCGCUGAAGACGGUUUUCUUCCCGUUCAUUGUCGCUAUCAUGGUUUGGUUUUGGCAUCGCGUGCAUUUGUUGAGUCGAUCGCCGGCGUUGUUGGAGUACAUGUUGCUGUAUCUCGGCGGAGCAUUGACACUUUUGAAUUUGCCGCUUGAAUGGUUGACAUUGGUGUUCGAUAUGCCCUUCAUGUUGCUCUUGGGAGAUAUUAAGCAGGGGAUUUUUUAUGCUACGUUGCUGUCAUUUUGGCUUGUUUUCGCUGGAGAGCAUAUGUUGAUCCAAGAAACCGGCGAGAAGAAAACCCUCAAAUCGUAUUGGCGUCACUUAAUCGCCGUCAUCGUGGGAUGCAUUUCUCUCUUCAUGUUCGACAUGUGUGAACGCGGCACAAAAUUACGAAAUCCCUUUUACUCCAUUUGGGGCACAAACAUCGGAGCAAAUCUCGCAAUGACUUUUAUCGUGCUCGCCGGCAUGUCAGCUGUCUGCUAUUUCCUCUUCCUCUGCUACAUGGUAUGGAAAGUUUUUUCGAACAUCAGCAUUAAGCGAUCCUCGUUGCCCGCCAUGUCAAGUGCGCGUCGUUUGCACUACGAAGGCAUCAUCUAUCGCUUCAAAUUUUUGAUGUUGGCAACUUUGGUGUGCGCCGCUCUCACGAUAAUCGGCUUCAUUUUGGGCCAAGUUGCCGAAGGACAAUGGAAAUGGGACGACAAUCUGUAUCUGGAGUUUACGUCGGCUUUCUUUACGGGCGUUUAUGGCAUGUGGAACAUUUACAUCUUUGCGCUGAUUGUCUUGUAUGCGCCGAGUCACAAGCAAUGGCCGCAACAGCAACCCAACCAGGAGAGCAUUUUGAGCGAGGAAAUUGAAUUUACGAGUCUUCCGUCGCUCAGUCAGCCAACGGAAGUGAGUUCGCUCACGCAAUUCGUUAGCAAGGCAGCGAUGGAUUAAACGAAGAAGCGUUUUUGAGACGCGCAACUGAAAGCAAUCAAUUACAUUUAGACUUUUAAGGAAUGACGACAAUGAGUAGAGAGUGGAUAAAUUUUAGAUGUAACAUGACAGUAUUAACGAAAAGUUCAGAAAAUUAUUUUGACUAUCAUAACCUCACUUUUUUUUUAUCGAAUCGAUCUAAAAUCUGAAUGUUGGAAGAAACAAAUAAUGGUUAAAAUAUUUAUUACUAAAUGUCUUGUGAAUGUACUUAAUGUGUUUUUAAGUUAAAAUCGGUUGCUUCCGAUAUUUUUAUGACUUAUUUUAUUCAAAUAUGUGCCAAAAUAUUUGCAUUUAUUGACAAAAGUUCACAUUUCACGUAGAAUU